Molecule: ribosomal RNA, 253 nt
Filed under: uncultured bacterium
Lineage: Bacteria
Description: partial 16S ribosomal RNA
Rfam family: Bacterial small subunit ribosomal RNA
Source: RNAcentral
UACGGGGGGGGCAAGCGUUGUUCGGAAUUACUGGGCGUAAAGCGCGUGUAGGCGGCUACGUAAGUCGGGCGUGAAAUCCCACGGCUCAACCGUGGAAGUGCACUCGAAACUGCAUAGCUAGAGUCCUGGAGAGGAAGGUGGAAUGCUUGGUGUAGAGGUGAAGUUCGUAGAUAUCAAGCGGAACACCGGUGGCGAAGGCGGCCUUCUGGACAGUGACUGACGCUGAGACGCGAAAGCGUGGGGAGCAAACAGG